RNAcentral lists this antisense RNA (660 nucleotides) under Homo sapiens (human). Its description in RNAcentral is "partial ghrelin splice variant". The stretch from base 156 to 225 matches the Rfam family "Ghrelin opposite strand RNA conserved region". The record is from RNAcentral. Lineage: Eukaryota; Metazoa; Chordata; Mammalia; Primates; Hominidae.
CAUGGAAGUCUCCAAGCCUGUGCCAUCCACCUGCCAAGGAAAAGCACAAGCAUACAGUUUGAACAUUUAUUCGCCUCCUGAGCUUGUACAACAGUCGUGGGAGUUGCUGCAGAAGCAAGCGAAAAGCCAGAUGAGCGCUUCUAAACUUAGAGAGAGGGAGAGCGCCUCAUCUCUUCCAUUUUCCAGGUAUUCCUGAGAUGAUUUAUUGGAGCUCAAAGCUUUGGGCAAAUGCGGGGUGGCUGAUCACCUGGCAGACAUCUUAGGAAACAGGAGCACCGGUCUGGGAAACUGCUGGCCUGGCCUAACACCUGGCGCUGUGGUGCAGGCAAGAGGGCAGCCACUGAGGAUUCUUGAGGAGAGAGAGACCAUAGAAUGAAUGAAAGAGUUGGAAAGACUUUAAAGCUCUGGGAGGCUGAAUCCUUUAUUUCGCUGGAAGAAAAACUGAAUGCCAAGAGGGCCUCACUUUCCCCAAAGCUAUACAGCCAUCAGGGGCAAUGCUGGGAUUCCCCCAUGGAUCUCUUGACUCCUAAUACAGUGCUCUUUCUGAUAUGCCAUCUGGCUCCAUAAUGAACAUUGUGUUCCAGGAAAAUCAGUCUGCGCUGAACAGGAUGGAAUUGGGGCAGGACGUCCAGUGAGGAGGACAUUGAGGCAGUAGAGCAG